This is a non-coding RNA of Parasteatoda tepidariorum (common house spider), 189 nucleotides long. The record is from RefSeq and is a predicted model, not a curated record. Lineage: Eukaryota; Metazoa; Arthropoda; Arachnida; Araneae; Theridiidae.
UUAUUCUUAGAGUGUUGCUAACUUUGAAAGCAAAAUGACUGCUCUAGAAAGCAAUGUGAAAGAGCUCAAAGAUCAACAAUCUAAUCUACGAACAACAGCUCAAAAUUUCUCAGGAGAAUUAGAUGUUGUAAAAGUUACAGUUCAAGAAUUGUCUAAUUCUUCUGAAUAAACUUCAAAAUCAUCUGUAAA